UGUGUUCUAAGUGGUAAACAUAGUC
Molecule: non-coding RNA, 25 nt
Filed under: Mus musculus (house mouse)
Lineage: Eukaryota; Metazoa; Chordata; Mammalia; Rodentia; Muridae
Source: RNAcentral